RNAcentral lists this unclassified non-coding RNA (230 nucleotides) under plant metagenome. Its description in RNAcentral is "partial contains small subunit ribosomal RNA, internal transcribed spacer 1, and 5.8S ribosomal RNA". The record is from RNAcentral.
UCUCCGUAGGUGAACCUGCGGAGGGAUCAUUACAGAGUUCAUGCCCUACCGGGUAGAUCUCCCACCCUUAUGUUAUUAUUACUUUGUUGCUUUGGCGGGCCGUUAGGCUCCGGCCCGGCUACCGGCCCCGGCUGGUAAGCGCCCGCCAGAGGACCCAAAACCCUGAAUAUUAGUGUCGUCUGAGUACUAUAUAAUAGUUAAAACUUUCAACAACGGAUCUCUUGGUUCUG